AACGAACGCUGGCGGCAUGCCUAACACAUGCAAGUCGAACGAGACCUUCGGGUCUAGUGGCGCACGGGUGCGUAACGCGUGGGAAUCUGCCCUUUGCUUCGGAAUAACAGUUAGAAAUGACUGCUGAUACCGGAUGAUGUCUUCGGACCAAAGAUUUAUCGGCAAAGGAUGAGCCCGCGUAGGAUUAGGUAGUUGGUGGGGUAAAGGCCUACCAAGCCGACGAUCCUUAGCUGGUCUGAGAGGAUGAUCAGCCACACUGGGACUGAGACACGGCCCAGACUCCUACGGGAGGCAGCAGUGGGGAAUAUUGGACAAUGGGCGAAAGCCUGAUCCAGCAAUAGCCGCGUGAGUGAUGAAGGCCUUCGGGUCG
RNAcentral lists this ribosomal RNA (370 nucleotides) under uncultured bacterium. RNAcentral describes it as "bacterial SSU rRNA". It matches the Rfam family "Bacterial small subunit ribosomal RNA", at positions 29 to 425 of the family's 1533-position model. The record is from RNAcentral.